Molecule: ribosomal RNA, 468 nt
Filed under: uncultured bacterium
Lineage: Bacteria
Description: partial 16S ribosomal RNA
Rfam family: Bacterial small subunit ribosomal RNA
Source: RNAcentral
GACGAACGCUGGCGGCGUGCUUAACACAUGCAAGUCGAACGGAAAGGCCCUGCUUUUGUGGGGUGCUCGAGUGGCGAACGGGUGAGUAGCACGUGAGUAACCUGCCCUUGACUUUGGGAUAACUUCAGGAAACUGGGGCUAAUACCGGAUAGGAGCUCCUGCUGCAUGGUGGGGGUUGGAAAGUUUCGGCGGUUGGGGAUGGACUCGCGGCUUAUCAGCUUGUUGGUGGGGUAGUGGCUUACCAAGGCUUUGACGGGUAGCCGGCCUGAGAGGGUGACCGGCCACAUUGGGACUGAGAUACGGCUCAGACUCCUACGGGAGGCAGCAGUGGGGAAUAUUGCACAAUGGGCGGAAGCCUGAUGCAGCAACGCCGCGUGCGGGAUGACGGCCUUCGGGUUGUAAACCGCUUUCGCCUGUGACGAAGCGUGAGUGACGGUAAUGGGUAAAGAAGCACCGGCUAACUACGUG